CCUACGGGAGGCAGCAGUGAGGAAUAUUGGUCAAUGGCCGAGAGGCUGAACCAGCCAAGUCGCGUGAGGGAUGAAGGCCCUACGGGUUGUAAACCUCUUUUGUCGGGGAGCAAAGAGAGUCACGUGUGGCUCAUUGAGAGUAUCCGAAGAAAAAGCAUCGGCUAACUCCGUGCCAGCAGCCGCGGUAAUACGGCGGAUGCGAGCGUUAUCCGGAUUUAUUGGGUUUAAAGGGUGCUCAGGCGGAGGUUCAAGUAACUGGUCAAAUUGCGGGGCUCAACCCCGUACUGCAGUUGAAACUGCAUCCCUUGAGUGAGCGAGAAGUAUGCGGAAUGCGUGGGGUAGCGGUGAAAUGCAGAGAUAUCACGAAGAACUCCGAUUGCGAAGGCAGCAUACCGGAGCGCAACUGACGCUCAUGCACGAAAGCGUGGGGAUCGAACAGGAUUAGAUACCCCUGUAGUC
This 459-nucleotide ribosomal RNA is filed under the name uncultured bacterium. Its description in RNAcentral is "partial 16S ribosomal RNA". It matches the Rfam family "Bacterial small subunit ribosomal RNA", at positions 338 to 795 of the family's 1533-position model. The record is from RNAcentral.